UGUUACCCGUCCCUCUCUCUAUCUCUCUAAACCUAUCUUUUUCAACUUUGAUUUUGGAAAGAAAUUGCUUGAAUUGGAGCUUCAAAUUUGUGGGUUUUUGAGCUUGGAAUUGAAGGGAGUUCUAGCUAUAUUUGAGGAUUACCGGCACCUGAUCAGGAGCACCCAGGGGUUUGGAAUCUCUGUUAUUGCGGGACAACAGGAAAGGGUAAGUCAGUGGCUGAUCAACCAUGAGUUUGAGGAGCAAAACGAAGAAUGUACAUGUUCAAGCCAUAUCAGACCAAGCGGGUUAAGGGUCUAUCAGUGUUGAACUUUUGAAUUCUGUUUUGCCGCUUAGGUCGGCUAGAAAGAAAAGACUUGUAAUAAGUUUGUAAUUAUUUUUGGGAUCCCAACUAUUUUGAAAGUUUAAAUAUAUUACAAGUUUAUUUUCA
Cannabis sativa is the source of this 428-nucleotide long non-coding RNA. RefSeq lists it as uncharacterized. NCBI's taxonomy places the organism in Eukaryota, Viridiplantae, Streptophyta, Magnoliopsida, Rosales, Cannabaceae. The record is from RefSeq and is a predicted model, not a curated record. The transcript is spliced from 3 exons.